GUGUAUACCGCUUGGCACGAUAUGCGACUAUCCAAUUUCUUGUUGUUCUAAUAUGUUAUGCCGCCCAAUUAUAUUCUUUGGUAAACGGCAUUGUGCAAAAGGAAAAAAGUAAGUAAUAACAGAAUAAAGAACAUAGAACACCUUUAUAGCCAGGCAUUUUAUUGUGUUUAUCGGACAUUAAAGAAAAAUAAUGUUCAAUUACCUA
Long non-coding RNA from Biomphalaria glabrata, 205 nucleotides. RefSeq lists it as uncharacterized. The transcript has 3 exons. The record is from RefSeq and is a predicted model, not a curated record. Lineage: Eukaryota; Metazoa; Mollusca; Gastropoda; Planorbidae.